Molecule: non-coding RNA, 119 nt
Organism: Pteropus alecto (black flying fox)
Lineage: Eukaryota; Metazoa; Chordata; Mammalia; Chiroptera; Pteropodidae
Source: Rfam
UGCUAUGGCUAUGCCACCCUGAACGUGCCAGAUCUCGUCUGAUCUCGGAAGCUAAGCAGGGUUGGGCCUGGUUGGUACUUGGAUGGGAGACUACCUUGGAAGACCAGGUGCUGUAGGCA